AAAGUUCAUUUGUUUGUCUGUCUUUGUCUGUGUCGCUGUCGCACAAACAUUUGUUUUUGUACAACUGGGGAUUUAUCGCGUGUAUUUUUUUUCAGCCUAUUAUUAUUAUUAUUCAUAGCCACAAGAAUUUGUUUAGGUUUAGGGUGGUACCACGUGUUAAUUUAUCAGUACAAUAUCAUGAUCUUACACUAAACAAUUAUUCUUCCUUUCAGGUCAAAUUUUGCUAAGCCAUUGUCUAGUCUAAUUGGGAACAAAUUUUAUAGUCAAAUUCUUUA
RNAcentral lists this long non-coding RNA (275 nucleotides) under Panax ginseng (ginseng). Its description in RNAcentral is "long non-coding RNA (PGIN_LNC009902)". Lineage: Eukaryota; Viridiplantae; Streptophyta; Magnoliopsida; Apiales; Araliaceae. The record is from RNAcentral.